This 494-nucleotide ribosomal RNA is filed under the name uncultured bacterium. RNAcentral describes it as "partial 16S ribosomal RNA". It matches the Rfam family "Bacterial small subunit ribosomal RNA", at positions 28 to 507 of the family's 1533-position model. The record is from RNAcentral.
GACGAACGCUGGCGGCGUGCUUAACACAUGCAAGUCGAACGGUGAAGCGCCUUCCUUUUUGGUGGGUGUGGAUGAGUGGCGAACGGGUGAGUAACACGUUAGUAACCUGCCCCCUUCUUCUGGAUAACCGCAUGAAAGUGUGGCUAAUACGGGAUAUUCUGGGUCUGUCGCAUGAUGGGUCUGGGACAGAUAUUGUUUCGGUGGGGGAUGGGCUCGCGGCCUAUCAGCUUGUUGGUGGGGUGAUGGCCUACCAAGGCGGUGACGGGUAGCCGGCCUGAGAGGGUGGACGGUCACAGGGGGAAUGAGACACGGCCCAGACUCCGAGGGGAGGCAGCAGGGGGGAAUAUUGCACAAUGGGAGCAAGCCUGAUGCAGCGACGCCGCGUGAGGGAUGGAGGCCUGCGGGUUGUGAACCUCUUUCGCCAGUGAAGCAGGCCUGCCUCGUUUGUGGGUGGGUUGACGGUAGCUGGAGAAGAAGCGCCGGCUAACUACGUG